Molecule: transfer RNA, 68 nt
Filed under: Philonthus fimetarius
Lineage: Eukaryota; Metazoa; Arthropoda; Insecta; Coleoptera; Staphylinidae
Description: tRNA-Gln
Source: RNAcentral
UAUAAUAAAGUAUAUGAUGUACAUGGGUUUUUGAUGCUUGAGGGGUAGUUUAAUUCUACAUAUUGUAA